Molecule: ribosomal RNA, 470 nt
Filed under: uncultured bacterium
Lineage: Bacteria
Description: SSU rRNA
Rfam family: Bacterial small subunit ribosomal RNA
Source: RNAcentral
AGGAUGAACGCUGGCGGCGUGCCUAACACAUGCAAGUCGAACGUCCUGUCUCGCAAGAGGCAGGGAGUGGCGGACGGGUGAGUACCACGUGGGUUAUCUACCGUGAGGUGAGGAAUACCGGCGAGAAAUCGCCGACAAGACCGCAUAGCCUCGGUGCAAGCCGAGCAAAGCUCUUUCGAGAGAGGGAGCGCCACACGAGGAGCCUGCGCCCGAUUAGCUAGCUGGUGGAGUAACGGUUCACCAGGGCGACGAUCGGUAGCUGGUCUGAGAGGACGAUCAGCCACACUGGGAUUGAGAACGGCCCAGACUCCUACGGGGGGCAGCAGUGAGGAAUUUUCGUCAAUGGGGCAACCUGAACGAGCAACGCCGCGUGCAGGAAGAAGGUUUUCGGAUCGUAAACUGCUUUUCGUCGGGAAGAGAAUGGACGGUACCGAGGAAUCAGCCCCGGCUAACUACGUGCCAGUAGCCGC